This 229-nucleotide ribosomal RNA is filed under the name uncultured bacterium. RNAcentral's name for it is "partial 16S ribosomal RNA". It matches the Rfam family "Bacterial small subunit ribosomal RNA", at positions 568 to 796 of the family's 1533-position model. The record is from RNAcentral.
UCCGUAGGUGGAUAAUUAAGUCAGAGGUGAAAUCCCACAGCUCAACUGUGGAACUGCCUUUGAUACUGGUUGUCUUGAGUUACAGUGAAGUAGAUAGAAUAUGUAGUGUAGCGGUGAAAUGCAUAGAUAUUACAUAGAAUACCGAUUGCGAAGGCAGUCUACUAACUGUUAACUGACGCUAAGGGACGAAAGCGUGGGGAGCGAACAGGAUUAGAUACCCUGGUAGUCC